GAAACCUCAAACACCCUUGUGGAUUCUCGGAGAAAAUCAAAAUUCAUCUCUCAUGAGUCUGCCAUAAAUUUGAUCAAACAUGAGAGGGAUCCACAAUAUGCAUUAGAAAUUUUCAACAUGGUAGCAGAACAAAAGGGUUUCAAUCACAAUCAUGCUACCUAUUCAACCAUAAUUCAUAAGCUUGCUCAGGCCAAGAAGUUUCAGGUGGUUGAUGCACUGCUUCAUCAGAUGACCUAUGAAACUUGCAAAUUUCAUGAAAAUAUAUUACUUAAUCUUAUGAAGCAUUUCUCUAAGUCUUCUCUGCAUGAGAGAGUGCUUGAGAUAUUCUAUGCAAUUCAGCCAAUAGUUCGUGAGAAGCCAUCUCUCAAAGCCAUCAGCACGUGUCUCAAUCUGUUGAUUGAAGCAAAGCAGAUUGAUUUGGCCCAGAAAGUUCUGUUAUAUGUCAAGGAGUGUCUCAAAGUAAGACCAAAUACCUGUAUUUUUAACAUCUUGGUCAAGCAUCAUUGCAAAAUUGGGGGGGAUCUUGAAUCUGCCUUUCAAGUUUUGAAGGAGAUGAAAAAGUCCAGUAGGACUUAUCCUAAUUUGAUUACCUACUCAACUCUGAUGGACGGGCUAUGCAAAAGUGGAAGACUCAAUGAAGCAAUUGAAUUGUUUGAGGACAUGGUGGCAAAGGAUCAGAUAUUGCCUGAUGCUCUCACUUACAGUGUUUUGAUUAAUGGCUUUUGCAAUGGGGGGGAAGUUGAUAGGGCCAGGAAGAUAAUAGAGUUUAUGAGAAAUAAUGGAUGCAACCCAAAUUUAUUUAAUUAUUCAGCCCUGAUGAAUGGAUUUUGUAAAGAGGGAAGGUUUAAGGAGGUCAAAGAGCUUUUUGAUGAGAUGAAGAGCUUUGGCUUGAAACCUGAUACAGUUGGCUACACUACAUUGAUAAAUUGUUUCUGUGGGACAGGUAGAAUAGAUGAAGCCAUGGAGUUGCUUAAAGAGAUGGCAGAAAUGAAGUGCAAACCUGAUGUUGUAACUUUUAAUGUGUUGCUUAAAGGUUUGUGCAGAGAAGGCAGGUUUGAUGAGGCUCUUGGGAUGCUUGAGAAACU
Molecule: unclassified non-coding RNA, 1085 nt
Filed under: Hevea brasiliensis (rubber tree)
Lineage: Eukaryota; Viridiplantae; Streptophyta; Magnoliopsida; Malpighiales; Euphorbiaceae
Source: RNAcentral